AGUAAAGAGAGAGAAGAAGAAGAAGGGAGCUGCAGGACGCAGCUGCCGCAGCGCGACUCUCCGAUCUUUCCCCGUGCAGAUGACCGGAAGUCGUGACGUGAGAAGCUCCAGCUAAUAGUGAAAGUCCAGGAGGGUCAUCUCUACAUCUCUAGAUCUCUACUCCUGCGUCCUGUUCUUCAUUGCUGUGCUGCUGCAGACUGAAACAUGAGAUGAUCUCCACAUGGAAAGUUGUGCAGACAGCCAGAAUCAAUGGAUCGAUCUCUGCUGGCAAUACUUCAGUGAAAUGUAACAUCACUGAGGAGGCAGAAGGAAACAGAGCCGCUGCUCUCUCCCUUUGUUCGCUGUGAGAAACCCUCUUCUGAAAAUUACAAAUGGAAUUGUCAUGAAUAAUGAACGGUAUGAAUCAUUGGACAGCUUGUGUCAGCUUGAUGACUAAAAUGUGCCGUGAAUGUUCUUACCACUGUAAUGGCCCUGCUGCAGAAUGGGAGGCUAAUUCUGAGGUUGUGAGACGUUUGUGAUUCAGAGAGUGGAAGAGGAAUUACAGAUAAAGCUGCAAAUAUGGGUUAAUGGGCUCAGAGCCCGAGGAUAAAAGGAAGAUGUCUGUCAGUCUGUCCGUCUGUCAGCUGCUGCUUCUUCUGAGGGAUGAAAAACAGAGACGUCAGGUAAAAAAGAUCCCAGAGGAGGACCUCUGAAGAUGAAGCACUUUCAACUACUUAGCUUGUAGCAGGACAUAAUGCAUGCAUUGUAAGGUUGUGCAUUAGCAAGUUCUUACUGUAGAGUAAAAUAUCUUA
Molecule: long non-coding RNA, 791 nt
Organism: Notolabrus celidotus (New Zealand spotty)
Lineage: Eukaryota; Metazoa; Chordata; Actinopteri; Labriformes; Labridae
Exons: 3
Source: RefSeq, a predicted model, not a curated record